GGCAAAUUCUUCUAACUUUAUGCCCCAAGACAGAUCUUUCCUAGAGAGCUGACGGUAGAUUUGCAAACCAAAGCAUGCUCCCCAGGUGUUCUGCUGAGUCAUUACCUUAGAUAUCAGCAGCACAACGGCUGAGAGGUCUUUGGGGUCACCUUUACCGAACUUCGGGGCGUCCAGAGUCUCCUCCCAUGCACGUUUGGGUUCACGCUGUCACACCUAAGAAUGAGCAGGUGAGAAGAUGCUGCUCGGUUCUUGCCUUAAAGCGGGAUGAUCCUGCCAUCUUGGAGAAGACCCAGGCUGGUGUUUGCUCCUUUAAGCGACUGGGACUCCCAAAUCUGCAGACUUUCUAGCAUCCUGCAGGGUGGCCAUGGUCUAGUUGAGCAGCCAGAAAGAAGCUCAUCAAUUGGAAUGGAGUUUGUCUCCUGUUUCUAGUUUCUUCAUCCAGAGCGGAAUUUUUCAAGAUGUGGUCCAAGGACGACCUGAGUCAGACUCACCCCAGGUCUAGGUGAAUGUCCACAACCACUGAAGCAGAAUCUUCAUGGGGUAGAUUCUAAACAAAACCUACAUUUGGAAGAAGCUCCUUAAGAAUUAUUCUGCAUAAUAAAACAUAUAAAACAGACACCUAGAGGUAUUAUUAGCUUGCUGCAAAAGUAGUUGCAGUUUUUGCCAUUACUAUUGUGCCAACCUAGUAUUAUCAAUUUAUUGCUAAUUGACACAGAUAUUUAGAUGACUCUUUGAAAACUUAUAUUUUUGGCCAGGUGCAGUGGCUCACACCUGUAAUACCAAUGCUUUGGGAGCCUGAAGCAGGAAGAUCACUUGACUGAGGCCAGGAGUUUGACACCAGCCUAGACAACAUAGUGAGACCCCAUCUCCACAAAUUAACACACACACACACACACACACACACACACACACACAUUUUUGUCCAAUGGCAGACAUCUCAUAAUCGGCAGAGUGAAGACUCAAACCCUUUGCCUUGUGUUCCUUCCCCUAUGUGACAGCUGCCUUGCUUUUGUCUGUCGAACCCUCAGGGGCAAAGCCCUGCACAGCCUGUCACCUGCUUGACACCAGAAAGCCCCGUCACUUUUUGUGGCAGGUGAAGGGUCCCUGGAUUUCACUCCACCUCUUAAAUUUCCUCUCCCUGUCCUUUCCAAAACACAUGCUGCAAACCAAAGAAUCCUGAAAUGUAUUUUAAGCAACUGUAGGAUAUAUAUCCAUGUAACCCAGAUAUGAGGUAACUUAUAUCAAUCUUCCCUCACCACGCCAUUCCCCAGCAAACGGAAGUGACUGCACACAAAUUUAAAUAACUGUUGACUCAACUCAGCUUUUUGCACCAAAGCAUAUCAGAGAUUACUGCUCACUUGUGAUUGGCUGUCCUUGAUAGCACAUCUGCCUUGGUCCAUUCAGCUGUGACGAGGGACAUAGGACACCUGGGCAACAGAGACUGUGGGGGGACAGUUUCAUUUAGAGUGGUGGGCAGAGCAGUCACCAUACCUGACAUUUCUAGUACAAUCCACAAGGUAGUCAAGUCCCAGAAGACUGCUGAAAGUACAUUUUAUAAUAACUAGUGUCAGGCCUCUGAGCCCAAGCCAAGCCAUCGCAUCCCUUGUGACUUGCACGUAUACAUCCAGAUGGCCUAAAGUAACUGAAGAUCCACAAAAGAAGUAAAAACAGCCUUAACUGAUGACAUUCCACCGUUGUGAUUUGUUCCUGCCCCACCCUAACUGAUCAAUGUACUUUGUAAUCUCCCCCACCCUUAAGAAGGUACUUUGUAGUCUCCCCCACCCUUAAGAAGGUUCUUUGUAAUUCUCCCCACCCUUGAGAAUGUACUUUGUGAGAUCCACCCCUGCCCGCCAGAGAACAACUC
Molecule: long non-coding RNA, 1864 nt
Filed under: Homo sapiens (human)
Lineage: Eukaryota; Metazoa; Chordata; Mammalia; Primates; Hominidae
Description: HSALNT0220900
Source: RNAcentral